This 204-nucleotide long non-coding RNA is filed under the name Ananas comosus (pineapple). Its description in RNAcentral is "long non-coding RNA (ACOM_LNC042444)". Lineage: Eukaryota; Viridiplantae; Streptophyta; Magnoliopsida; Poales; Bromeliaceae. The record is from RNAcentral.
GGGUGAGCUUGACAUGUGGACUAAGAUAGCAUGAGGAUUGGGUCUUGUGACAUAGAAUCCUAUAGCGGCAUAAAGAGCCGAACUUGGACAUAGCCUAGUAGAGUGGCAUUGAACUAGUGUAGUAGAAACACUAAACUUGAACGAAUGGCAUGUCAACUAGUAGAAAACUUACUACAAUGAUCGAACGAGUGGCAUCGAGUCUAG